RNAcentral lists this ribosomal RNA (253 nucleotides) under uncultured bacterium. RNAcentral describes it as "partial 16S ribosomal RNA". It matches the Rfam family "Archaeal small subunit ribosomal RNA", at positions 474 to 727 of the family's 1478-position model. The record is from RNAcentral.
UACCAGCACCCCGAGUGGUCGGGACGAUUAUUGGGCGUAAAGCAUCCGUAGCCGGUUUUACAAGUCCUCCGUUAAAUCCAGCUGCUUAACAGAUGGGCUGCGGAGGAUACUAUAAGACUAGGAGGCAGGAGAGGCAAGCGGUACUCAGUGGGUAGGGGUAAAAUCCGUUGAUCCAUUGAAGACCACCAGUGGCGAAGGCGGCUUGCCAGAAUGCGCUCGACGGUGAGGGAUGAAAGCUGGGGGAGCAAACAGG